Molecule: long non-coding RNA, 2679 nt
Organism: Catharus ustulatus (Swainson's thrush)
Lineage: Eukaryota; Metazoa; Chordata; Aves; Passeriformes; Turdidae
Exons: 5
Source: RefSeq, a predicted model, not a curated record
AUAAACCCCAAUCACAUCCAUUAUCAGCAGGGCUAUCUUUCCCAACAUCUCAUUUAUUCCUGCUGGGACAAGGUCAGUGUCAGCACUGGCAGCUGGAAAUCAGAGUUUUCCCUGGAAUUACUUUCCACCAGCAAGAGCUCAGGCUCUUCCCAUCAUUUCCAGUUAAGCAGGGCUGUGCAGACCCCUCAAAGCAAGAACAGUUUGUGUGUCCCAGAAGGAAAGAGAUGAAGCAGGGAGGAGAAGCUCUUGAAAAGCUUUUAAGGCAAAAGCAAAAGAGGUUUGAUUGUUGGACUUCCAAGAGCUGUUCCAAGAGGUUCUGGAAGCUCCUGUGCUCCUGGCAGAGCUGCAAGAGAACCCUGCAAGCACCUUCUGGUGAGGAACCACAAAAAACCUCUCCCCUGAAAAAAAUAUUGUAGUUAAGUAAUGAACACCAGGACUUUUUCCACUGUACAAGGUUAUUAAUGGCAUUUCUGAUAGAGUUUAUCAAAAAUGAUUUGUCCCACAGUAUCCAAGCACCAGCAUGACUCUGGAUUCCAAACUGGCAAUGAAUCCCUGGUUGGUAGCCAGGGCAUCAGCUGCAGACUCUGAGCACAAAGCAGAGGCUCAGGGGAUUCCUGCACUGCCUGCUCAGCAAAAAGCUUCCACCAAAUCCUGCACAAACACAGCACAACAGCAAAUCCAGAGGCACUGAGGUUUCAGGAGAGGAUCAGGAAAAUAAAACCCUUACAUUAUUUGCUUUGGUGACUCUAAGCAGUGGCUGACCACUUCCAGAAAUGGUCAUUUCCCAAAUAAUGACCAACCAGCUAAAAAAAGGCUUUAAAACUUCCAUCAGUGCUGUCAUUUAUAUUUAAAGUUCAGAUUUCUCAAGGUUGUUGAUAAAACUGGAGGAACUGGAGUGAAUUUUCAGUCCUGUUCAGCCAGAGAAGAAAACUGAGGCAGAAUCAUUUCAGUGCAGCCACUUCUCCACAGAUCUAUACUUAUAUACAGUUUAUUUCACUAGAGAUUUUAAUUUUAUACAUAGUAUAAAGGGGUAUCCUGGUAUCACACAUAGAGUUAUUUUACUGUACUGUUUAAGAACCAAUUUUUUUACAUAAUACAGUAUUAAGUACCAUAUUAAUUAAAACAAAUGAUUUUUUAAAAAAACCUACAUAUAAAUGGAUGUUUAUCAUAUGCACAGUGCAAGAACGGCUUGAUAUCAUUGUAAUCACAAAUUGUGAAUCUAAAAUACAACACUGUGAUUGAAAACUAAUUGAUAAUUAUGAUGCCCUGUGUUGUAGACAUUGAUUAAUCUUUGUUUGAAUUACCAAGCAAGGUUAAAAUUCCAGACAAACAGCAGCAGCUUCUCAUUAUGGUUUCAAGGUUUCUUCCACAGUAACCCAAGUCUUACAAAACACUGGUUUAUCCCUACUUGUGGUCUAAGGAAACAGAAGAAUGGCACAGAUUCCAUCUGGGAUUAUCUGUAACUAAUGCUAAAUAAAUUCUUUAUUACUUCCACACAGGAAUCCUUUAAGGAUGAGUGAAGAGACAAAGAUGGAGAAGUUUCUGGGCAGAAUUCUCCAGAUUUAGUAAGAGAGUACAGGAUUUCUCCUCUGCAAAUAGGAAGACAAUACUGGAAUAGAAAUCAGCUGUAAUAUUUACAGGAAACAAGUGUGGAAAAGAAAGCAAUCCCAAUGUAAACACUGAGGCAGAGAGGGCUUCUUCAUUUUCCCUUUGCAGAGUGGGGCACUGGUGCAGGUCAGCUCCUAAGGAACAGCUCUUUUCCUGGGAAGAGCCCCUUCCCCAGCACAGAAUGCACGUGGUACUCGUUGAGAAUCCCUAACAGGUUUUCUCCCCUCCCUCCCCCCAAAGUUUCAAGUUCAAUAAAUAGUAGAAAAAUAAUCCUUUACUUAAAAAUCUCGAGAUGCAUUGUCCCAGGUCCUGCACAGCAACGUGGGCACAGGGAUCUCUCCACCUGCAGAGAAGCCAGCAGCCUUCCCUGCUCUGUCUGCCACUUCUGGGCUCUCCAGCUGCAGAUUCCUGCUCUUCCAGUUAAGGAAACCAAAUCAUCUCUGGCUCUUUAAGCUCUCUCUCUGCUCUUGGCUCAGCACAACAAACUCCAGCUGCUGGAUAAACUCCCAUCCCUGUUCCUGGAGGUCUAACGUGCUCCAUCUGUCUCCAUGUUUUGGCAGGUCCAUUCAUCAAGCACGUUUCCAGGCCAGAGCCAACCUUGUAUUUGUAAAAAUGCAAAGCUCUGAUGCCUCAGUUUGGUGGGGAAGCCUGUGAGGCUGUCCCUGGGGAGCAGCACAGUCCCCAUGGCGCUGGAGUCGCAUCUGUGGUGUCCUCAGUGCACGGUGCCACAGCCUGCAGGAGGUGGCUGUGCUGUCCCCAGUGCCACAGCCUGCAGGAGGUGGCUGUGGUGUCCCCAGUGCCACAGCCUGCAGGAGGUGGCUGUGGUGUCCCCAGCACUUGGCAUCCACAGUGUGCUUGGUGACAGUGGCCUGCAGGAGGUGGCUGUGGCAGCCUGCAGGAGGUGGCUGUGGUGUCCCCAGUGCCACAGCCUGCAGGAGGUGGCUGUGGUGUCCCCAGCACUUGGCAUCCACAGUGUGCAUGGUGACAGUGGCCUGCAGGAGGUGGCUGUGGUGUCCCCAGUGCCACAGGCUGCAGGAGGUGGCUGUGGCAGCCUGCAGGAGGUGGCUGUGG